AACGAACGCUGGCGGCAUGCCUAACACAUGCAAGUCGAACGAGACCUUCGGGUCUAGUUGCGCACGGGUGCGUAACGCGUGGGAACCUGCCCUUAGGUUCGGAAUCACUCCCCGAAAGGGGUGCUAAUACCGGUUAAUGUCUUCGGUCCAAAGAUUUAUCGCCUUUGGAUGGGCCCGCGUUGGAUUUGCUAGUUGGUAGGGUAAAAGCCUACCAAGGCGACGAUCCAUAGCUGGUCUGAGAGGAUGAUCAGCCACACUGGGACUGAGACACGGCCCAGACUCCUACGGGAGGCAGGAGUGGGGAAUAUUGGACAAGGGGCGAAAGCCUGAUCCAGAAAUGCCGGGUGAGUGAUGAAGGCCUUAGGGUUGUAAAGCUCUUUUACCCGGGAUGAUAAUGACAGAACCGGGAGAAUAAGCUCCGGCUAACUCCGU
RNAcentral lists this ribosomal RNA (432 nucleotides) under uncultured bacterium. RNAcentral describes it as "partial 16S ribosomal RNA". It matches the Rfam family "Bacterial small subunit ribosomal RNA", at positions 29 to 506 of the family's 1533-position model. The record is from RNAcentral.